RNAcentral lists this ribosomal RNA (789 nucleotides) under uncultured bacterium. RNAcentral describes it as "bacterial SSU rRNA". It matches the Rfam family "Bacterial small subunit ribosomal RNA", at positions 8 to 796 of the family's 1533-position model. The record is from RNAcentral.
AGAGUUUGAUCAUGGCUCAGAUUGAACGCUGGCGGCAUGCCUUACACACGCAAGUCGAACGGCAGCGCGGGGCAACCUGGCGGCGAGUGGCGAACGGGUGAGUAAUAUAUCGGAACGUACCCUGGAGUGGGGGAUAACGUAGCGAAAGUUACGCUAAUACCGCAUACGAUCUAAGGAUGAAAGCAGGGGACCGCAAGGCCUUGUGCUCCUGGAGCGGCCGAUAUCUGAUUAGCUAGUUGGUGGGGUAAAGGCCUACCAAGGCAUCGAUCAGUAGCUGGUCUGAGAGGACGACCAGCCACACUGGAACUGAGACACGGUCCAGACUCCUACGGGAGGCAGCAGUGGGGAAUUUUGGACAAUGGGCGAAAGCCUGAUCCAGCAAUGCCGCGUGAGUGAAGAAGGCCUUCGGGUUGUAAAGCUCUUUUGUCAGGGAGGAAACGGUGUGGGCUAAUAUCCUGCACUAAUGACGGUACCUGAAGAAUAAGCACCGGCUAACUACGUGCCAGCAGCCGCGGUAAUACGUAGGGUGCAAGCGUUAAUCGGAAUUACUGGGCGUAAAGCGUGCGCAGGCGGUUUUGUAAGUCUGUCGUGAAAUCCCCGGGCUCAACCUGGGAAUUGCGAUGGAGACUGCAAGGCUAGAAUCUGGCAGAGGGGGGUAGAAUUCCACGUAGCAGUGAAAUGCGUAGAGAUGUGGAGGAACACCGAUGGCGAAGGCAGCCCCCUGGGUCAAGAUUGACGCUCAUGCACGAAAGCGUGGGGAGCAAACAGGAUUAGAUACCCUAGUAGUCC